GAUGAAGAACGCAGCGAAAUGCGAUAAUUAAUGUGAAUUGCAGAAUUCAGUGAAUCAUCGAGUCUUUGAACGCACAUUGCGCCCGCUAGUAUUCUGGCGGGCAUGCCUGUUCGAGCGUCAUUUCAACCAUCAAGCCCUGUUUAGGCUUGUGUUGGGGCCCUGCGGUUGCCGCAGCCCCCUAAAUGCAGUGGCGGGCUCGUUGUCACUCCGAGCGCAGUAGCGUAUCUCGCUCUGGGCGUGGCGGCGGGUGCUAGCCGUGAAACACCCACUAAGGUUGACCUCGGAUCAGGUAGGAAUACCCGCUGAACUUAAGCAUAUCAAUAGCGGAGGA
Molecule: unclassified non-coding RNA, 331 nt
Filed under: soil metagenome
Description: partial contains 5.8S ribosomal RNA, internal transcribed spacer 2, and large subunit ribosomal RNA
Rfam family: 5.8S ribosomal RNA (bases 1-120)
Source: RNAcentral